RNAcentral lists this ribosomal RNA (414 nucleotides) under uncultured microorganism. Its description in RNAcentral is "bacterial SSU rRNA". It matches the Rfam family "Archaeal small subunit ribosomal RNA", at positions 459 to 872 of the family's 1478-position model. The record is from RNAcentral.
CAGCAGCCGCGGUAAUACCGGCGGCCCGAGUGGCGGUCACUAUUAUUGGGCUUAAAGCGUCCGUAGCCGGGUUGGGAAGUCCUCCGGGAAAUCUGGCCGCUUAAAGGUCAGAAUGCCGGAGGAUACUCCCAGCCUAGGGAGCGGGAGAGGCCGAGGGGAUUCCCGGGGUAGGGGGGGAAUCCUAUAAUCCCGGGAGGACCACCUGUGGCGAAGGCGCUCGGCUGGAACGCGUCCGACGGUGAGGGACGAAGGCCAGGGGAGCAAACCAGAUUAGAUACCCGGGUAGUCCUGGCUGUAAACGAUGCGGACUUUGUGUCGGACAAGCUAUGAGCUUGUCCGGUGCCGGAGGGAAACCGUUAAGUCCGCCGCCUGGGGAGUACGGCCGCAAGGCUGAAACUUAAAGGAAUUGGCGGG